CUGACACAGUAUUAGAGAUAACACCAGUAGGCCGACUGACUGCUGAGUGCUCACUCAUAGAGUGGUCAUAACAACACCAUAUAAGGUCGAACUCAACGGUCCGUUCAACUGUCUCUUUAUACUCUCUGAGAUAAACCAGACCCAAUAGGGGUAACCUCUUCAGCAUCCUGACCAAUAUACCAUCGAAUUUCUGGGGUCCCACUGAUGCUCCGUGAACUCCCGGCAGAGGGCAUGACCGUUUACCUUGUAGCUCUGAAUAAACCAAUUCAUGUUGAACCGUCACCACUCCUUCAGUCAUACCACACCCAGAUAUCAGAGGCAUCCCAGAAAUUAGCAUCUAAUCCACGCUGGAUUAAAUGCGGGGGCUCAGUUGUGUGCGGCUGGCUGGAUAAAGGGGUCCUUUGUUUUAUCACAAUUUGAGUAACAUCGCCCCCUCGUGUGCGCUUGUGUCCUCCUUCCCAGAUUGUGGUUUUGAUGUUUGGCUGAGCGGAACUCCUGAUGGCGUCUGAAUUUUAUUUUAUUUACGGUGUGUCUGCAAUUAUAAACUACAUAUCCUUCGGGCAGGGAGCCGUGUUUUUCAUCUGCGGGAUUCUUUCCAUUUCAAGUGUCCGUCAUCCAUCCAAGAAAUGUGUGACGGUGUGUUUGGCCAUGUAUGUAGUGGCCCUCAUUCCAAUGGUAAUUUCAGCGCUCAUCAGAAUGUAUUUUUUUGGUGUAUGGUUUAGAUAUUUCGAAGAUGAAUUACCCUCCGAAAUAAUGAAAACGCUUAUUCAAGCCAUACUGUUCAUUUGUAGCUUAUGUGUUUCUGGACUGCUUAUCUUUUUGUCUACGGCUGCACGUAGAGCUCUGAAGUCAACACAAUCCCAGGUGAUUGUCCAGCACAUCGAACCAGCCAUGACACUUGAAACAAUACCGACUGAAUAGCAUUUAUUCUGCUUAUUCAGUCAUGUUAAUCCGCCUUGAAAUGUGGUAGCCAAAAAAAAAGGGUAAGAAAGGGGGACUACCAGAGGCUAAACGUGUGGGGGCAAGCUGGCAUCAACAUAGACGAUCAAGAAUACAAUGGCACCACAGAUAUGCACAUCGCCGUCAGAUGAAGGAUACUGCCAUGGUGGCCAAGCCGCUCAAGUUGGGAGCUUCCCCUCUGGUAAACUAAUCAAGCAGAAUAGGAAGAAAUCACAGGCUAUGAUGUCGCUACUGCACAAUAUACGUCGGUGAAGGUGUUUUGCAACACGUGAUCUGAUAACAUUACCACUGCGUCUCUGCAGGAGUGGGACCCUGGUCUAGGUCAGCAGUGGACCACGCUCGAGAGCAGAAUCUCUGGAUAAUCUUGAGGUUUUUCCUCCCACUUUCAGGAAAAGGAGAGCUACCAGGAA
Gadus morhua (Atlantic cod) is the source of this 1370-nucleotide long non-coding RNA. RefSeq lists it as uncharacterized. Lineage: Eukaryota; Metazoa; Chordata; Actinopteri; Gadiformes; Gadidae. The record is from RefSeq and is a predicted model, not a curated record. The transcript has 6 exons.